CAAAAUGGUGGCGCCGAGGCGGAGGCCCGCGCACCUGGGGGCGCCACAUGCCCCGCAGACCGCCGCCAGCUGGACGCGAGCCCCAGGUCCAGGCGGCCCGCACUGGUCUGCGCCAGGCCCAGCCCGCGGGGGCCGCCCACAGCCGGUGGCCCGCGUCGCCGCUCGGUGUCCGUGGGUCUGGUGCCGGCGGGGGCGCGGGGCGCGGGGCUCGGUGCGGCCGCCUCGGCCUCACCCCACGGUCCGCGCCGGGGAUAGGGAGCGCACUCACCUCAGACGCGCCCCGGGAGCCGCUGGAAGAGUCCGGGAAAGGAGGCGGAGCCGCGCGAAUGAAUGGAGCCAGCGGCUGCUCGCUGGCGACCUCCGGCCGGUCCCGGGCCGCACAGCUCGCCGCUGCCAGGGCGGGUGCGGCCGCCUCCCGCUCGCAGCGGACGCCCGGCUCCUCGUCGCGGGUCGGCCGCGGCCCACCGUGCCCUCCGACGACGUGACGCACUAGCGCCGCAGCGCCUCCAGCCUUCGCUUCCGCUCAGCGCCCGCGCCCACCGCGAAUCCCCCCGCCCGCCCGCCCGCCGGCGCGGAGCGGCCCCUCCUCGGAGCCUGGGACGCCGCCCUGCCUCCCUCCAGCCCCGGCUCUCAGGCGCCGGCCCGGCAGGUGCCGGCUUGGCCAGCCCGGGGGCGUCACGCGGCCCCCGCCUCGCCACCCGCGCCCCCUCUCUCCGCCCCGGCCGCCGUCACCCGGCAGCGCGACGCCCAGCUCAGGGCGAUGGCUUGGUAUUAAAGAGUGACCUUGGCUUAGAUAUAAAAAUAGAUGCGGUUAAGCCGCGGGGGCUACAACGCUGAUUUUGCGUAUUCCUUUAAUGCCGACCUUCGCAGGAUUCUGUUCGCAGAGCCCGGUGGAGUUCUCCAGCCCCGCGUAGGCCCUCCUGAAAUUUACCCAGAGUGGACGCGGCCAUCCCGGCCUCGGGACAGGGGUGCAGAGGGCACGGGCGACGACCGCCGGCCUCUGCCCCGCCACUUUCAUCCUAAACCUACUGCCACUUAGGUGCAUGCAAGGAAGAAUCGUGGGCUGCUUUCACAGUCUAGAGAAGUCCUAGAGCCCGGACUUUCAUCUGGAGAUGUCAGGGAAAUACCAAAUUCCUGCGCUGACCUUUUCUCUUUCACCGUUUAACCGGUACAGACUAACCCUGACCCAGAAAGACAACAGGGUUCCAUCCGGCUUUCCUCCCCUGCCUCUCCCAGCUCUAUUCUACCGUCUUAUGGCCUCUGGCGCCUUUGCUAAUUACACACUCCUACUGAAAAAAUUAGCCCUCCAGCAUUUAAAACAUGAUAAAUUGUCUUUAAGGUAAUGCGUAUUGUAGUCUAAAUAUAUUUAAUAAAUGUAUUGAGAAACAAUAUUGUAUCUAAGUAUUAACGUCAAGACUUUCUUUUACUCAUCAUCCAAGAACCAUAGCAUUAUGUUCGGCUCAUCCAGAAAAGUUGGAAAUUGCGUCUUUCAUUCCUGGGAAAUAUUUAGCAAUCACAAUACCAACUUUCACGAAUUUACUAAUGAUUAGCAAAAUUAGCAAGAUCAAAAAAUACUUCAAAGAAUGUUUGUUGAUAUAGUUAUAUUUGACCCUGAUUAAAAAAAAAAAGGCUUUCCUGCCAUAUAAGAAUCUAUUCUUUCAUUUGUAUAAUAUUUAAUUAGCCAAAAUCCUGACUAUUACACAUCAUUUACCAUUUUAAUGAAACAAUGAAUUAGAUUUAAUAGAGCAGGAAUUUUGGGUAGUUGGGUUCUACCUAUAGCCAGUGAUGAAUGAAAUUAUAUGACUUGUAUUCACAUUUCUAGAGCUAUGUGUAAGUAGGAGUCCCCAGGGUAAUCCCAAACAAUUGCCAUUUGGGGAAGCUUUGGCUACCAGACUAUGCCCUACAGAUGUUGAAGCCUCAGGCCUUAGUGUAAAGCUAACCAAUACAACUUGUUGAUAAUAUUUGAAA
Molecule: non-coding RNA, 1968 nt
Filed under: Pongo abelii (Sumatran orangutan)
Lineage: Eukaryota; Metazoa; Chordata; Mammalia; Primates; Hominidae
Source: RNAcentral